Molecule: non-coding RNA, 29 nt
Filed under: Mus musculus (house mouse)
Lineage: Eukaryota; Metazoa; Chordata; Mammalia; Rodentia; Muridae
Source: RNAcentral
UGGGAUUAAGAUUAAAAAAAGGUCUGUGC